Molecule: long non-coding RNA, 714 nt
Organism: Acinonyx jubatus (cheetah)
Lineage: Eukaryota; Metazoa; Chordata; Mammalia; Carnivora; Felidae
Exons: 3
Source: RefSeq, a predicted model, not a curated record
GUUCUGGAAUCACACAGCAGUAUGAAUAUAGUAAAAACCCCUGAAGUGUACACUUCGCCCGGGUGAUUUUUAUGGCAGCCACCGGCUUCAAGACAAGAAAGAGAUUACCUGGUAUCUUCCAGUGACACCUGACCAGAUUUUUCAUCCACGAUAAUUUUACAGUGAUCUCCAGAGACCAGUUUAUUGCCAGGGAAUGAAAGAUCACAACCUAAAACAGAGAGGGAUACAUUGGAUGUGACCGUGGGGACUGUGCACAAAAGUGCCCUUUGCUUAAUCAAAGCACGUGGUUGAAAAUCAGGACCCAUGGUAUAUGCACGGUGGGAGACAACCUAAUCAAGUUUCAUAAAUCAUCACAAAAUUGAAGCGAGGACCAAGACUCAGAAAACAUGACUGAGCAAAUUACAGACACAUGAACACGCUUGAGAAAAUUUAAAACAGAAGGUGGAUGCAUCUACACACAAUGAUCUGAAUACAGUCAUUAUAUCCUCAUUAAAUUAAAGGGGGAAAUCCUUCAAUACUGUGUUCUCUCCUUAAACCAGAGGAAUAAAAGUUUUCAGGAGUUUUUACUAUCUAAUCGUGAAUUUGCUUAUAAGACAUUUAUACUGUAGCUACUAAGGUUUAUAGUUUUAUUUUUAAUAAGUAAAAACGGGAAGCAAUAUAAGUAAGUGUCCAUCAACUGGUGGUGAAUUAAAAAACAAACUGUGGGGAAAAAAA